Molecule: ribosomal RNA, 426 nt
Filed under: uncultured bacterium
Lineage: Bacteria
Description: bacterial SSU rRNA
Rfam family: Bacterial small subunit ribosomal RNA
Source: RNAcentral
UGGGGAAUAUUGGACAAUGGGGGCAACCCUGAUCCAGCAAUGCCGCGUGUGUGAAGAAGGCCUUCGGGUUGUAAAGCACUUUUAUCGGGAACGAAACAUUGUCGGCCAAUACCCGGCAAGACUGACGGUACCCGAGGAAUAAGCACCGGCUAACUCCGUGCCAGCAGCCGCGGUAAUACGGAGGGUGCAAGCGUUAAUCGGAAUUACUGGGCGUAAAGCGUGCGCAGGCGGUUUGUUAAGUCUGCUGUGAAAUCCCCGAGCUCAACUUGGGAAUUGCAGUGGAUUCUGGCAAGCUGGAGUACGGUAGAGGAAGGUGGAAUUCCCGGUGUAGCAGUGAAAUGCGUAGAGAGCGGGAGGAACACCGGUGGCGAAGGCGGCCUUCUGGACCAGUACUGACGCUCAUGCACGAAAGCGUGGGGAGCAAAC